Acipenser ruthenus (sterlet) is the source of this 1418-nucleotide long non-coding RNA. RefSeq lists it as uncharacterized. The transcript has 2 exons. The record is from RefSeq and is a predicted model, not a curated record. Lineage: Eukaryota; Metazoa; Chordata; Actinopteri; Acipenseriformes; Acipenseridae.
ACAGGUCUAUCUAUCUAUCUAUCUAUCUGUCUAUCUGUCUAUCUGUCUAGUUCUUUUAAAGAAAACAAAUAGCAAAAAAUGUUCUUUUCUGAAGAAAUAUAUAUUUAAAGAGAAUAUGGAAUGACUGAGCGUUCUGAAUUGAUCUACUACAAACUCCCAGAAGCAGCUCCCGUGUGUCGACUGUGUUCCUUCAACAGGAAGAGCAGCGCGAAAAGAGUGAGAGAGACGCUCACCAGUUUACUGUUUAGAAAUGCAAUGAAAAAAUACCAUUAAAAAAUACAAUCACUCGUUUACCAUGAUGUGCUCCUCUUUCAUAUUGGAGAAUGUGAGGUCUACACAGUGAUGGGGAUGCAGAUCAGAUCCAGGUUUACCAUGAUGUGCUCCUCUUUCAUAUUGGAGAAUGUGAGAUCUACACAGUGGUGGGGAUGAUAUCAGAUCCAGGUUUAUCAUGAUGUGCUCCUCUUUCAUAUUGGAGAAUGUGAGAUCUACACAGUGAUGGGGAUGAUAUCAGAUCCAGGUUUACCAUGAUGUGCUCCUCUUUCAUAUUGGAGAAUGUGAGGUCUACACAGUGAUGGGGAUGCAGAUCAGAUCCAGGUUUACCAUGAUGUGCUCCUCUUUCAUAUUGGAGAAUGUGAGGUCUACACAGUGAUGGGGAUGAUAUCAGAUCCAGGUUUACCAUGAUGUGCUCCUCUUUCAUAUUGGAGAAUGUGAGAUCUACACAGUGGUGGGGAUGAUAUCAGAUCCAGGUUUAUCAUGAUGUGCUCCUCUUUCAUAUUGGAGAAUGUGAGAUCUACACAGUAUGGGGAUGAUAUCAGAUCCAGGUUUACCAUGAUGUGCUCCUCUUUCAUAUUGGAGAAUGUGAGGUCUACACAGUGGUGGGGAUGAUAUCAGAUCCAGGUUUACCAUGAUGUGCUCCUCUUUCAUAUUGGAGAAUGUGAGGUCUACACAGUGAUGGGGAUGCAGAUCAGAUCCAGGUUUACCAUGAUGUGCUCCUCUUUCAUAUUGGAGAAUGUGAGGUCUACACAGUGAUGGGGAUGCAGAUCAGAUCCAGGUUUACCAUGAUGUGCUCCUCUUUCAUAUUGGAGAAUGUGAGGUCUACACAGUGAUGGGGAUGAGAUCAGAUCCAGGUUUACCAUGAUGUGCUCCUCUUUCAUAUUGGAGAAUGUGAGGUCUACACAGUGAUGGGGAUGAUAUCAGAUCCAGGUUUACCAUGAUGUGCUCCUCUUUCAUAUUGGAGAAUGUGAGGUCUACACAGUGAUGGGGAUGAUAUCAGAUCCAGGUUUACCAUGAUGUGCUCCUCUUUCAUAUCGGAGAAUGUGAGGUCUACACAGUGAUGGGGAUGAUAUCAGAUCCAGGUUUACCAUGAUGUGCUCCUCUUUCAUAUUGGAGAAUGUGAGGUCUACACAGUGAUGGGGAUG